Molecule: non-coding RNA, 74 nt
Organism: Gammaproteobacteria bacterium GWE2_42_36
Lineage: Bacteria; Pseudomonadati; Pseudomonadota; Gammaproteobacteria
Source: Rfam
GGGCCUAUAGCUCAGUUGGUUAGAGCAGCGGACUCAUAAUCCGUUGGUCCUAGGUUCAAGUCCUAGUGGGCCCA